This 526-nucleotide ribosomal RNA is filed under the name uncultured bacterium. RNAcentral's name for it is "bacterial SSU rRNA". It matches the Rfam family "Bacterial small subunit ribosomal RNA", at positions 791 to 1311 of the family's 1533-position model. The record is from RNAcentral.
UAGUCCACGCCGUAAACGAUGUCAACUAGCCGUUGGGUCCAUUUAAGGGCUGAGUGGCGCAGCUAACGCGAUAAGUUGACCGCCUGGGGAGUACGCCGGCAACGGUAAAACUCAAAGGAAUUGACGGGGCCCGCACAAGCGGUGGAGCAUGUGGUUUAAUUCGAUGCAACGCGAAAAACCUUACCUACCCUUGACAUCAUCGGAACUUGUUAGAGAUAACUCGGUGCCUUCGGGAGCCGAUAGACAGGUGCUGCAUGGCUGUCGUCAGCUCGUGUCGUGAGAUGUUGGGUUAAGUCCCGCAACGAGCGCAACCCUUACCCUUAGUUGCCACCAUUAAGUUGGGGACUCUAAGGAGACUGCCGGUGAUAAACCGGAGGAAGGUGGGGAUGACGUCAAGUCCUCAUGGCCCUUACGCCUAGGGGCUACACACGUACUACAAUGGGCGAAGACAAACUGAUGCGAAGCAGCGAUGUGGAGCAAAUCGGGAAAAAACAUACGUCUCAGUCCGGGAUAGGGAGUCUGCAAC